UGUUGUAAAAUUCGGAUAAUAUAGCCUUGCGAAGUUUGCCGUUUUUCAGUCAUUUUGUAUUACAAAUGGGAAAUUGGUAAUCAGUUUCCAUUUGUAAUGCAAAAUGACUGAAAAACGGCAAACUUCGCAAGGCUAUAUUAUCCGCAUUUUACAACAUU
Non-coding RNA from Paramuricea clavata, 158 nucleotides. NCBI's taxonomy places the organism in Eukaryota, Metazoa, Cnidaria, Anthozoa, Malacalcyonacea, Plexauridae. The record is from the annotation of a GenBank genome assembly.